UACGUAGGGUGCGAGCGUUGUCCGGAAUUAUUGGGCGUAAAGGGCUCGUAGGCGGUCUGUCGCGUCGGGAGUGAAAACUCAGGGCUUAACCCUGAGCCUGCUUCCGAUACGGGCAGACUAGAGUUCGGCAGGGGAGACUGGAAUUCCUGGUGUAGCGGUGAAAUGCGCAGAUAUCAGGAGGAACACCGGUGGCGAAGGCGGGUCUCUGGGCCGAUACUGACACUGAGGAGCGAAAGCGUGGGGAGCGAACAGG
This 253-nucleotide ribosomal RNA is filed under the name uncultured bacterium. Its description in RNAcentral is "partial 16S ribosomal RNA". It matches the Rfam family "Bacterial small subunit ribosomal RNA", at positions 524 to 776 of the family's 1533-position model. The record is from RNAcentral.